Long non-coding RNA from Arabidopsis lyrata subsp. lyrata, 972 nucleotides. RefSeq lists it as uncharacterized. The transcript has 6 exons. The record is from RefSeq and is a predicted model, not a curated record. Lineage: Eukaryota; Viridiplantae; Streptophyta; Magnoliopsida; Brassicales; Brassicaceae.
UUGUAACCCUAAACGCUUCGUCAUUUCUUCUGCAAAAUUCAGAAUAUGAGUGAACCGUCGAGUUCUCAUCUGCUCAUCGGAGCUUCUUCGUCAAUUCGCACCUUCGUUUCCUUUGAAGUUCGAAUUUUCUCUUUUCCGAUUUAGAUCGAAAGAUGCGGAAUCAUAUCUCAACUCGAUCAAAGACGCCAAAUCCUCUAUUUUCUGCGUUCGAUCGGGAUCGAGAUUGUUGAGGAUAGUACUAAACUUUAGGUUUCUACGAGGAUUGGAAGAUGCAGAGUACAUUGACGCCCCUCCAAAUCUAGAAGCUGUAAAUAACAGAAGAGAAGCUUAGAAGAAAGGAAAUGAUUUGCAAAAAGCAACUUGUAACUUUACUACUUUGAUUGGCCAAGGAGCAUUUGGACCUGUCUACAAAGCUCAAAUGUCUACCAGUGAGACGGUAGCUGUGAAAGUUCUUGCCACUUAUUCUACAGGCGAACAAAAGUUUCACACAAAAGCGAAAAACAUGAACCACUGAACUGGGAUUUGAGAGUAUAUAUUGCAUUACGCGGUCUAGAGUAUCUUCGUGAUGGGAAUGUUCCUCCUGUAAUCAACAGAGAUCAAAUCUUCCCAACAUUUUGUUGGAUCAAUCCAUGAGAGCUCGGGUUGUUGUCUUUGGACUAUUUAGAGGAACAUGCUGCUAACAUCAGAGGAGCAUUUGGUUAUCUCGAUCCCGAAUACGUUUCCACAAGAACAUAUACCAAGCAAAGAGAUGUUUAUGGCUCCUGGGUUUUACUCUUUGAGCUUAUAGCUGGAAGAAAUCCUCAACAAGGUCUAAUGGAAUUUGUUGAGCUGGUAGAUGUCAUGUGUGUAUGAUUUAUGUUUUGUAAGACAGAAUUACAAAGUUACAUUUUGUGUAUAAAGAUAUGAAUUUGAUCAAUGUAAUGAUUCAUAUGGAUCAGCUUUUAGAAAUUUUAUCAAGUUACAUUUACGUUA